RNAcentral lists this ribosomal RNA (1048 nucleotides) under Pedobacter rhizosphaerae. RNAcentral's name for it is "Pedobacter rhizospharae Bacterial small subunit ribosomal RNA". It matches the Rfam family "Bacterial small subunit ribosomal RNA", at positions 75 to 1126 of the family's 1533-position model. The record is from Rfam by way of RNAcentral. Lineage: Bacteria; Pseudomonadati; Bacteroidota; Sphingobacteriia; Sphingobacteriales; Sphingobacteriaceae.
AGAGCUUGCUUUUCUAGAGACCGGCGCACGGGUGCGUAACGCGUAUGCAACCUACCUUUAUCAGGGGGAUAGCCCGAAGAAAUUCGGAUUAACACCGCAUAAAAUCACAGUACAGCAUUGUACAAUGAUCAAAUAUUUAUAGGAUAAAGAUGGGCAUGCGUGUCAUUAGCUAGUUGGCGGGGUAACGGCCCACCAAGGCGACGAUGACUAGGGGAUCUGAGAGGAUGACCCCCCACACUGGUACUGAGACACGGACCAGACUCCUACGGGAGGCAGCAGUAAGGAAUAUUGGUCAAUGGAGGCAACUCUGAACCAGCCAUGCCGCGUGCAGGAAGACUGCCCUAUGGGUUGUAAACUGCUUUUAUCCGGGAAUAAACCUACUUACGUGUAAGUAGCUGAAUGUACCGGAAGAAUAAGGAUCGGCUAACUCCGUGCCAGCAGCCGCGGUAAUACGGAGGAUCCAAGCGUUAUCCGGAUUUAUUGGGUUUAAAGGGUGCGUAGGCGGCCUGUUAAGUCAGGGGUGAAAGACGGUGGCUCAACCAUCGCAGUGCCCUUGAUACUGACGGGCUUGAAUGGACUAGAGGUAGGCGGAAUGAGACAAGUAGCGGUGAAAUGCAUAGAUAUGUCUCAGAACACCGAUUGCGAAGGCAGCUUACUAUGGUCUUAUUGACGCUGAGGCACGAAAGCGUGGGGAUCAAACAGGAUUAGAUACCCUGGUAGUCCACGCCCUAAACGAUGAACACUCGCUGUUGGCGAUACACAGUCAGCGGCUAAGCGAAAGCGUUAAGUGUUCCACCUGGGGAGUACGCCCGCAAGGGUGAAACUCAAAGGAAUUGACGGGGGCCCGCACAAGCGGAGGAGCAUGUGGUUUAAUUCGAUGAUACGCGAGGAACCUUACCCGGGCUUGAAAGUUAGUGAAUUAUCCAGAGAUGGAUAAGUGAGCAAUCACACGAAACUAGGUGCUGCAUGGCUGUCGUCAGCUCGUGCCGUGAGGUGUUGGGUUAAGUCCCGCAACGAGCGCAACCCCUAUGUUUAGUUGCCAGCAUGU